This 615-nucleotide long non-coding RNA is filed under the name Danio rerio (zebrafish). Its description in RNAcentral is "lncRNA (ENSDARG00000117490.1)". Lineage: Eukaryota; Metazoa; Chordata; Actinopteri; Cypriniformes; Danionidae. The record is from RNAcentral.
GUUGUAGAGCAAAGAUGCAAUCAAAUUUGCCUUGCACACGUGUGUCUGUCACUUUGUAUUUGUGAAUGACAUUUUACAAAUACACAACUAUUAAUCUGCAACUUCCAAUUUAAAACACAAGUGUGUGGGUUGUUGUGUGUGUGUGCAAAUCGAGGAUUUCAGCUGUUCACAUCAGAGCUGUAAGUGUACAUUUCAACCUACACAUACAAAUAUUAUUAUCACAAGUGCUCACAUUUACAUUUGCAAGCUCUCGAGUUUCGCAACGGAUUUACCUUCAUAAUAAUGUGUCCACUUGGGCUAAAAGCCGGUGUUGGGUUGCAUCGCAGAAGCAUCUGCCUAAUAGAUAUUGCAGAGACCGAACACACAAAUGGGUUUCUCUUAGGAUAGUGUGUGCUGUAUCACUAUACACCGCUCACAGUUUCCUGCCAUUGAUCAAGCCCCACCUAUUCAGCUGAUGGGCCAGAGGAGAAACCCGAUCACCUAACAAGAGAGAAGCAGAGGAGAGAGGAAGGAGAAAAUGAGAGAACUGGUACUGUACCACAGCCUCUUUAUUUCCCUUCGUACCUAAAACACAUCCCACUCUGUGCAAUGCAUAUCAGUUUUACUGUGUCUACA